GUGCAACACAAUAUAUACUAUAAAUUGGUUUAAUCUUUAGUCGAUGUGGGACUUCACCAACAAUAUAUAUAUUGCUUAUCUUAUAAGUGUCUUACUUUUUAUUAUAUGUUAUUGAUAGGGUAUUAAAAUCUAGUUUUAUUCUCUAAAAAAGUAUAAUUACUUACUGGAAAUAUGCUUAAAUAAGAUAAUACUUGUUUAACAAAAAAUAUUAAUUCUU
This 217-nucleotide long non-coding RNA is filed under the name Vigna radiata. RNAcentral describes it as "long non-coding RNA (VRAD_LNC013646)". Lineage: Eukaryota; Viridiplantae; Streptophyta; Magnoliopsida; Fabales; Fabaceae. The record is from RNAcentral.